CCACCGUGGGCUGUGCUGGAAGAGGGUGGAGGGAUGGCCAGGAUCCAGAAGACAAGAAGGAAAACAAGCCCUGCGCCAGGCAGAGUAACUGCAGAUCCAAUGGAAAAGGCGCCCAGCCUACUGAGAUGCCAAUUAGUUUCCCUGUCCACGGUGGGCCAGCAUCCCCGCAGGAAGAAAUCCAGGGAGCAGACAGUGAGGUCCUCGGAAAGCCCAGCUGUGAUGAAUAGGACUUCUGGUUCCCCUGGGAUCUGGCUGGUUAUUUUGUAGGAAAUUGAAUUUCUUGG
RNAcentral lists this long non-coding RNA (284 nucleotides) under Cavia porcellus (domestic guinea pig). Its description in RNAcentral is "lncRNA (ENSCPOG00000036379.1)". Lineage: Eukaryota; Metazoa; Chordata; Mammalia; Rodentia; Caviidae. The record is from RNAcentral.